Molecule: ribosomal RNA, 301 nt
Filed under: uncultured bacterium
Lineage: Bacteria
Description: partial 16S ribosomal RNA
Rfam family: Bacterial small subunit ribosomal RNA
Source: RNAcentral
CAGUCGCCGCGGUAAAACGGAAGGUCCAGGCGUUAUCCGGAUUUAUUGGGUUUAACGGGAGUGUAGGCGGUCUGUUAGGCGUGUUGUGAAAUUUAGGUGCUCAACAUUUAACUUGCAGCGCGAACUGGCGGACUUGAGUGCACGCAACGUAUGCGGAAUUCAUGGUGUAGCGGUGAAAUGCUUAGAUAUCAUGACGAACUCCGAUUGCGAAGGCAGCGUACGGGAGUGUUACUGACGCUUAAGCUCGAAGGUGCGAGUAUCGAACAGGAUUAGAUACCCCGGUAGUCCCUGUCUCUUAUAC